This 253-nucleotide ribosomal RNA is filed under the name uncultured bacterium. Its description in RNAcentral is "partial 16S ribosomal RNA". It matches the Rfam family "Bacterial small subunit ribosomal RNA", at positions 524 to 776 of the family's 1533-position model. The record is from RNAcentral.
UACGUAGGGCGCAAGCGUUGUCCGGAAUUAUUGGGCGUAAAGAGCUCGUAGGCGGUUUGUCGCGUCUGCUGUGAAAACCUAAGGCUCAACCUUGGGCUUGCAGUGGGUACGGGCAGACUAGAGUGCGGUAGGGGUGACUGGAAUUCCUGGUGUAGCGGUGGAAUGCGCAGAUAUCAGGAGGAACACCGGUGGCGAAGGCGGGACUCUGGGCCGAUACUGACGCUGAGGAGCGAAAGCGUGGGGAGCAAACAGG